This 465-nucleotide ribosomal RNA is filed under the name uncultured bacterium. RNAcentral describes it as "partial 16S ribosomal RNA". It matches the Rfam family "Bacterial small subunit ribosomal RNA", at positions 339 to 795 of the family's 1533-position model. The record is from RNAcentral.
CUACGGGCGGCUGCAGUCGAGAAUCAUUCGCAAUGGGCGAAAGCCUGACGAUGCGACGCCGUGUGAACGAAGAAGGCCUUAGGGUUGUAAAGUUCUUUCGCUUGGGAACAAGAGGUGCAUGUUAAUAAUAUGCAAAUUUGAGGGUACCAGGUAAAGAAGCACCGGCUAACUCCGUGCCAGCAGCUGCGGUAAUACGGAGGGUGCAAGCAUUAAUCGGAUUUAUUGGGCGUAAAGAGCGCGUAGGCGGUUGGAUAAGUCGGAUGUGGAAAUUCCAGAGCUCAACUUUGGAGCUGCAUUCGAAACUGUUCAGCUUGAGGAUAGACGGAGAAAACGGAAUUCCGCAUGUAGCGGUGAAAUGCGUAGAUAUGCGGAGGAACACCGGUGGCGAAAGCGGUUUUCUAGUUUAUACCUGACGCUGAGGCGCGAAAGCAAGGGGAGCAAACAGGAUUAGAUACCCUCGUAGUC